GGGCCUGUAGCUCAGUGGGUAGGGCACCAGCCACAUACACCCAGGCUGGUGGGUUCAAACCUCGCCUGGCCCG
Molecule: transfer RNA, 73 nt
Filed under: Otolemur garnettii (small-eared galago)
Lineage: Eukaryota; Metazoa; Chordata; Mammalia; Primates; Galagidae
Rfam family: tRNA
About the family: Transfer RNA (tRNA) molecules are approximately 80 nucleotides in length. Their secondary structure includes four short double-helical elements and three loops (D, anti-codon, and T loops).
Source: Rfam by way of RNAcentral